GACGAACGCUGGCGGCGUGCCUAAUACAUGCAAGUAGAACGCUGAAGAGAGGAGCUUGCUCUUCUUGGAUGAGUUGCGAACGGGUGAGUAACGCGUAGGUAACCUGCCUGGUAGCGGGGGAUAACUAUUGGAAACGAUAGCUAAUACCGCAUAAAAUUGAUUAUUGCAUGAUACUUAAUUGAAAGAUGCAACUGCAUCACUACCAGAUGGACCUGCGUUGUAUUAGCUAGUUGGUGAGGUAACGGCUCACCAAGGCGACGAUACAUAGCCGACCUGAGAGGGUGAACGGCCACAAUGGGACUGAGACAAGGCCCAGACUUCUACGGGAGGCAGCAGUAGGGAAACUUCGGCAAUGGGGGGAACCCUGACCGAGCAACGCCGGGUGAGUGAAGAAGGUUUUCGGAUCGUAAAGCUCUGUUGUAAGAGAAGAACGGGUGUGAGAGUGGAAAGUUCACACUGUGACGGUACCUUAACAGAAAGGGACGGCUAACUACGUG
This 497-nucleotide ribosomal RNA is filed under the name uncultured bacterium. Its description in RNAcentral is "partial 16S ribosomal RNA". It matches the Rfam family "Bacterial small subunit ribosomal RNA", at positions 28 to 507 of the family's 1533-position model. The record is from RNAcentral.